RNAcentral lists this ribosomal RNA (497 nucleotides) under uncultured bacterium. Its description in RNAcentral is "partial 16S ribosomal RNA". It matches the Rfam family "Bacterial small subunit ribosomal RNA", at positions 28 to 507 of the family's 1533-position model. The record is from RNAcentral.
GAUGAACGCUGGCGGCGUGCCUAAUACAUGCAAGUCGAGCGAACGGACGAGAAGCUUGCUUCUCUGAUGUUAGCGGCGGACGGGUGAGUAACACGUGGAUAACCUACCUAUAAGACUGGGAUAACUUCGGGAAACCGGAGCUAAUACCGGAUGAUAUUUUGAACCGCAUGGUUCAAAAGUGAAAGACGGUCUUGCUGUCACUUAUAGAUGGAUCCGCGCUGCAUUAGCUAGUUGGUAAGGUAACGGCUAACCAAGGCAACGAUGCAUAGCCGACCUGAGAGGGUGAUCGGCCACACUGGAACUGAGACACGGUCCAGACUCCUACGGGAGGCAGCAGUAGGGAAUCUUCCGCAAUGGGCGAAAGCCUGACGGAGCAACGCCGCGUGAGUGAUGAAGGUCUUCGGAUCGUAAAACUCUGUUAUUAGGGAAGAACAUAUGUGUAAGUAACUGUGCACAUCUUGACGGUACCUAAUCAGAAAGCCACGGCUAACUACGUG